GAGCCAUANGGUCAAGCGGUUAAGACACCGCCCUUUCACGGCGGUAACACGGGUUCGAAUCCCGUACGGGUCA
This 73-nucleotide transfer RNA is filed under the name Bacillus sp. Root239. RNAcentral describes it as "tRNA-Glu". The stretch from base 10 to 65 matches the Rfam family "tRNA", at positions 9 to 63 of the family's 71-position model. From Rfam's summary of the family: Transfer RNA (tRNA) molecules are approximately 80 nucleotides in length. Their secondary structure includes four short double-helical elements and three loops (D, anti-codon, and T loops). Lineage: Bacteria; Bacillati; Bacillota; Bacilli; Caryophanales; Bacillaceae. The record is from RNAcentral.